RNA transcript from Elaeis guineensis (African oil palm), 1295 nucleotides. RefSeq lists it as uncharacterized. The record is from RefSeq and is a predicted model, not a curated record. Lineage: Eukaryota; Viridiplantae; Streptophyta; Magnoliopsida; Arecales; Arecaceae.
GCGGGUCCCUUUCCUUCGCUCUCCGCCUCACCCACAACCGGAUUACAGCGGGCAAGAGAUAAAGAAUUGGUGGGAAACAGCGCCGGGUCUCCAAAUCAAAGCCCAUGUCGCUUCGGGAGUGCGACCCGCUUUAAUACUUUCAGCCUCAUCUAAGUUUUUUUAUUUUUUUUCUAUAUAAACGUAUCCAAAUAAUCUAUCGGAGGAAGAAGAAAGGCGGGCGGCGGGCGAAGGGCAUAACCAUGUCUUCCUCCUCCCUUUCCUUUAUCCUCCUUCUAUGCUAUCUGUUUCUCCUCCUCCUCCUAUCCUCCUCUGUCCCCGCGAGGGGUCGUCUCCUCCGCCUUCGCAAGCCCGAUCCGGCCGAUGCCGCCGCCACCGCCCGCUGGCUGGUCUCCCGUAACUCCUGGGGCGUUCUCAGCACCAUCUCAAGUGAUUUGGAGGGAGCUCCAUUUGGAAAUGUUGUUUCAUUCAGUGAUGGACCACCUGGUGAUGGCCGUGGCAUCCCAUACUUCUACUUGACAACACUAGAUCCAACAGCAAGGGAUGCACUGAAGGAUGAAAGGUCAUCUUUGACACUCAGUGAGUUUCCACUCGGAACUUGUGGUGAGACUGAUCCUGAGAAUCCCACUUGUGCGAAACUUACACUCACAGGGAAGCUGAAGCUUGUUGAUAGCCAGUCCAUGGAAGCAGAAUUUGCUCAACUCGCACUGUUUUCUAAGCAUGCAGAAAUGAAGGAUUGGCCAGAAGAUCACAACUUCCAAAUAUUUAAACUGGAUAUUGAGGAUAUAUUUUUGAUUGACUGGUUCGGUGGUCGCAAACCUUUAUCUCCAGCUCAGUAUUUUGACCCUGGAAAGAAACAACCUCUUCUUGAAUCCCAGGCAUGAAAGCCCACCUCAUAUUCAUGUCUUCAGGUUCCUGAAGCUAGUCCACCUUAAGCCAGCUCACCUGCAGAUUAUGGUGCAGCAAACUGCGAUCCACCUAAGAAGAACACGUGUUCACCAAUGUGAUCUGCCUCCCCCAAGGUUUACUUGGAGAAGUCUUAUCUUGUAAAGGGCAAUGUCGCUUAUCACUUUAAUAUCCCUACGGAGAAGCAGGACUUGCAGAGAUCUCCCUGUAAGAUUCUAGUGUGUAAGAUUGAGAAUGAAAUUGCACCACCGGCCGUUCAAUUGGCUUCGUUUCUGUAAUUUGGAACCUGGGGUUUGGAUCAAAGUCCAUAAGGGCAUGCUUGUGUGCCCCUAGACAGACAUAAAGCUUGCCUUUGUGGGUAACAAUAUUAUAGAUAUUGAUAUUCUUAGAAC